Molecule: ribosomal RNA, 1304 nt
Filed under: Escherichia coli
Lineage: Bacteria; Pseudomonadati; Pseudomonadota; Gammaproteobacteria; Enterobacterales; Enterobacteriaceae
Description: bacterial LSU rRNA
Rfam family: Bacterial large subunit ribosomal RNA
Source: RNAcentral
GGUGGUCAGGUAGAGAAUACCAAGGCGCUUGAGAGAACUCGGGUGAAGGAACUAGGCAAAAUGGUGCCGUAACUUCGGGAGAAGGCACGCUGAUAUGUAGGUGAAGUCCCUCGCGGAUGGAGCUGAAAUCAGUCGAAGAUACCAGCUGGCUGCAACUGUUUAUUAAAAACACAGCACUGUGCAAACACGAAAGUGGACGUAUACGGUGUGACGCCUGCCCGGUGCCGGAAGGUUAAUUGAUGGGGUCAGCGCAAGCGAAGCUCUUGAUCGAAGCCCCGGUAAACGGCGGCCGUAACUAUAACGGUCCUAAGGUAGCGAAAUUCCUUGUCGGGUAAGUUCCGACCUGCACGAAUGGCGUAAUGAUGGCCAGGCUGUCUCCACCCGAGACUCAGUGAAAUUGAACUCGCUGUGAAGAUGCAGUGUACCCGCGGCAAGACGGAAAGACCCCGUGAACCUUUACUAUAGCUUGACACUGAACAUUGAGCCUUGAUGUGUAGGAUAGGUGGGAGGCUUUGAAGUGUGGACGCCAGUCUGCAUGGAGCCGACCUUGAAAUACCACCCUUUAAUGUUUGAUGUUCUAACGUGGACCCGUGAUCCGGGUUGCGGACAGUGUCUGGUGGGUAGUUUGACUGGGGCGGUCUCCUCCUAAAGAGUAACGGAGGAGCACGAAGGUUGGCUAAUCCUGGUCGGACAUCAGGAGGUUAGUGCAAUGGCAUAAGCCAGCUUGACUGCGAGCGUGACGGCGCGAGCAGGUGCGAAAGCAGGUCAUAGUGAUCCGGUGGUUCUGAAUGGAAGGGCCAUCGCUCAACGGAUAAAAGGUACUCCGGGGAUAACAGGCUGAUACCGCCCAAGAGUUCAUAUCGACGGCGGUGUUUGGCACCUCGAUGUCGGCUCAUCACAUCCUGGGGCUGAAGUAGGUCCCAAGGGUAUGGCUGUUCGCCAUUUAAAGUGGUACGCGAGCUGGGUUUAGAACGUCGUGAGACAGUUCGGUCCCUAUCUGCCGUGGGCGCUGGAGAACUGAGGGGGGCUGCUCCUAGUACGAGAGGACCGGAGUGGACGCAUCACUGGUGUUCGGGUUGUCAUGCCAAUGGCACUGCCCGGUAGCUAAAUGCGGAAGAGAUAAGUGCUGAAAGCAUCUAAGCACGAAACUUGCCCCGAGAUGAGUUCUCCCUGACCCUUUAAGGGUCCUGAAGGAACGUUGAAGACGACGACGUUGAUAGGCCGGGUGUGUAAGCGCAGCGAUGCGUUGAGCUAACCGGUACUAAUGAACCGUGAGGCUUAACCUUACAACGCCGAAGGUGUUU